RNAcentral lists this non-coding RNA (31 nucleotides) under Rattus norvegicus (Norway rat). Lineage: Eukaryota; Metazoa; Chordata; Mammalia; Rodentia; Muridae. The record is from RNAcentral.
UGUUUGCCUAUUAGGGCAUCCAUAAGCUCAU